This 589-nucleotide ribosomal RNA is filed under the name uncultured bacterium. RNAcentral's name for it is "partial 16S ribosomal RNA". The record is from RNAcentral.
UAUUCCCGCGCCGUGGCUGAUGCGCGAUUACUAGCGAAUCCAGCUUCAUGGAGUCGGGUUGCAGACUCCAAUCCGAACUGAGAGAGGUUUUGGGGAUUGGCAUCCCGUCGCCGGGUAGCAGCCUUCUGUACCUCCCAUUGUAACACGUGUGUAGCCCCGGACGUAAGGGCCGUGCUGAUUUGACGUCAUCCCCACCUUCCUCACAUCUUACGAUGGCAGUCCCAAUAGAGUUCCCAGCAUGACCUGAUGGCAACUAUUGGCAAGGGUUGCGCUCGUUAUGGCACUUAAGCCGACACCUCACGGCACGAGCUGACGACAACCAUGCAGCACCUUCACACUGGUCCGAAGAAGGGCCCAUCUCUGAGCCUGUCCAGUGCAAUUUAAGCCCGGGUAAGGUUCCUCGCGUAUCAUCGAAUUAAACCACAUGUUCCUCCGCUUGUGCGGGCCCCCGUCAAUUCCUUUGAGUUUCACCGUUGCCGGCGUACUCCCCAGGUGGAAUACUUAAUGCUUUCGCUUGGCCGCUGACUGUAUAUCGCCAACAGCGAGUAUUCAUCGUUUACCGUGUGGACUACCAGGGUAUCUAAUCCUG